RNAcentral lists this ribosomal RNA (427 nucleotides) under uncultured bacterium. RNAcentral's name for it is "bacterial SSU rRNA". It matches the Rfam family "Bacterial small subunit ribosomal RNA", at positions 355 to 774 of the family's 1533-position model. The record is from RNAcentral.
UGGGGAAUUUUGGACAAUGGACGCAAGUCUGAUCCAGCCAUGCCGCGUGCGGGAAGAAGGCCUUCGGGUUGUAAACCGCUUUUGUCAGGGAAGAAACGAGUUUCUCUAAUACAGAGACUUAAUGACGGUACCUGAAGAAUAAGCACCGGCUAACUACGUGCCAGCAGCCGCGGUAAUACGUAGGGUGCGAGCGUUAAUCGGAAUUACUGGGCGUAAGGCGUGCGCAGGCGGUUAUGCAAGACAGAUGUGAAAUCCCCGGGCUCAACCUGGGACCUGCAUUUGUGACUGUAUAGCUAGAGUACGGUAGAGGGGGAUGGAAUUCCGCGUGUAGCAGUGAAAUGCGUAGAUAUGCGGAGGAACACCGAUGGCGAAGGCAAUCCCCUGGACCUGUACUGACGCUCAUGCACGAAAGCGUGGGGAGCAAACA